UGGUCAUUUAGAGGAAGUAAAAGUCGUAACAAGGUUUCCGUAGGUGAACCUGCGGAAGGAUCAUUACCGAACUGUCGACACGAGUUGUUGCUGGUCCUCAAGUGUGGGGACAUGUGCACACUCUGUUUACAAAUCCACUCACACCUGUGCACCUUCAGUAGUUCUGUGGUGUGGAGGACACUGUCCUCCGGCCGUGGUCCUACAUCUUUACACACACACACGGUGAUAAAGUCUAAUGGGAUGUAUAUGGCGUUUAACGCAAUAUAAUACAACUUUCAGCAACGGAUCUCUUGGCUCUCGCAUCGAUGAAGAACGCAGCGAAAUGCGAUAAGUAAUGUGAAUUGCAGAAUUCAGUGAAUCAUCGAAUCUUUGAACGCACCUUGCGCCCUUUGGCUAUUCCGAAGGGCAUGCCUGUUUGAGUAUCAUGAACACCUCAACCCUCAUGGUUUACCAUGAUGGGCUUGGACUUUGGGGGUCUUGCUGGAUUGUAUUCAGCUCCCCUUAAAUGGAUCAGCUUGCCAGUGUCUGGUGGCAUCACAGGUGUGAUAAUUAUCUACGCUUGUGAUUUUACAUCGGGUAACCUUCACAGAUAUGAUGGGGGUUCACUGGGGCUCACAAAAGGUGCCUCUCUUCCAUGAGGAGGGAUGGCUCUUUGAACGUUUGAUCUCAAAUCAGGUAGGACUACCCCGCUGAACUUAAGCAUAUCAAUA
RNAcentral lists this ribosomal RNA (710 nucleotides) under uncultured Tomentella. RNAcentral's name for it is "eukaryotic LSU rRNA". The stretch from base 271 to 425 matches the Rfam family "5.8S ribosomal RNA". The record is from RNAcentral. Lineage: Eukaryota; Fungi; Basidiomycota; Agaricomycetes; Thelephorales; Thelephoraceae.